Molecule: ribosomal RNA, 332 nt
Filed under: uncultured Micromonosporaceae bacterium
Lineage: Bacteria; Bacillati; Actinomycetota; Actinomycetes; Micromonosporales; Micromonosporaceae
Description: bacterial SSU rRNA
Rfam family: Bacterial small subunit ribosomal RNA
Source: RNAcentral
CUCAGACGAUCGAUGGCGGCGUGCUUCACACAUGCAAGGAGAGCGGAAAGGCCUCUUUGGGGGUACUCGAGCGGCGAACUGUUGCGUAACACGUGAGUAACCUGCCCCAGUCUUUGGGAUAACCCUCGGAAACGGGGGCUAAUACCGGAUAUGACUCGCGGCCGCAUGGUUGUGGGUGGAAAGGUUUUCUGGUCUGGGAUGGGCUCGCGGCCUAUCAGCUUGUUGGUGGGGUGAUGGCCUACCAAGGCGACGACGGGUAGCCGGCCUGAGAGGGCGACCGGCCACACUGGGACUGAGACACGGCCCAGACUCCUACGGGAGGCAGCAGUGGG